This 324-nucleotide long non-coding RNA is filed under the name Panicum hallii. Its description in RNAcentral is "long non-coding RNA (PHAL_LNC000467)". Lineage: Eukaryota; Viridiplantae; Streptophyta; Magnoliopsida; Poales; Poaceae. The record is from RNAcentral.
CUGUUUGGAUCAUUUUUAGUUCACAUGUGUGGAACCAACACCAUGGGAAGAGAGCCCUCAAAAAAAACACCAUGGGAAGAGAGCAUUAGGAGAUGAUGUAUGAUUCUGGAAACUCCAUAAUAGGAAGAGAGCAUUAGGAGCAUUAGGAGCAUUAGGCCCAAAAUUCAGACACAUCAUGAGUUCAGGAGAAAGCAAAGUAGCAGCAAGAGCAGCAAAAACCGGAACCGAGAUGAGCAUGAGGCUACACAGAAUUUGGAAGUGUGGCAGAAAGAGCAGCAAAAACCGGAACCAAGUGUGGCAGAAGUAGGAACUGUGGGGAUGACG